RNAcentral lists this ribosomal RNA (300 nucleotides) under uncultured Prevotella sp. Its description in RNAcentral is "bacterial SSU rRNA". The stretch from base 52 to 300 matches the Rfam family "Bacterial small subunit ribosomal RNA", at positions 547 to 795 of the family's 1533-position model. The record is from RNAcentral. Lineage: Bacteria; Pseudomonadati; Bacteroidota; Bacteroidia; Bacteroidales; Prevotellaceae.
GGAAACGCGGUGGCAGAGGCAGAGGGAAGACAGGUGGUGGAAGGGUGAAUCGGAGUUCAUGGGCGUAAAGCGGGGGUAGGCGGCUAAGUAAGGCAAAUGUGAAAUCCCCGAGCUUAACGUUGGAAGUGCAUUCGAUACUGGUUAGCUAGAGUGUGGGAGAGGAUGGUAGAAUUCCAGGGGGAGCGGUGAAAUGCGUAGAGAUCUGGAGGAAUACCGAUGGCGAAGGCAGCCAUCUGGCCUAACACUGACGCUGAGGUGCGAAAGCAUGGGGAGCAAACAGGAUUAGAUACCCCGGUAGUC